CCUGCAUGAAGUCGGAAUUGCUAGUAAUCGCAGAUCAGCAUGCUGCGGUGAAUACGUUCCCGGGCCUUGUACACACCGCCCGUCACACCAUGGGAGUCGGUAACACCCGAAGUCGGUAGCCUAACCGUAAGGAGGGCGCCGCCGAAGGUGGGAUUGAUGACUGGGGUGAAGUCGUAACAAGGUACC
This 186-nucleotide ribosomal RNA is filed under the name uncultured bacterium. Its description in RNAcentral is "partial 16S ribosomal RNA". It matches the Rfam family "Bacterial small subunit ribosomal RNA", at positions 1315 to 1500 of the family's 1533-position model. The record is from RNAcentral.